RNAcentral lists this ribosomal RNA (460 nucleotides) under uncultured bacterium. RNAcentral describes it as "partial 16S ribosomal RNA". It matches the Rfam family "Bacterial small subunit ribosomal RNA", at positions 338 to 795 of the family's 1533-position model. The record is from RNAcentral.
CCUACGUGUGGCAGCAGUGAGGAAUAUUGGUCAAUGGGCGCGAGCCUGAACCAGCCAAGUAGCGUGAAGGAUGACUGCCCUACGGGUUGUAAACUUCUUUUAUAAAGGAAUAAAGUGAGGCACAUGUGCCUUUUUGUAUGUACUUUAUGAAUAAGGAUCGGCUAACUCCGUGCCAGCAGCCGCGGUAAUACGGAGGAGCCGAGCGUUAUCCGGAUUUAUUGGGUUUAAAGGGAGCGUAGAUGGGUUGUUAAGUCAGUUGUGAAAGUUUGCGGCUCAACCGUAAAAUUGCAAUUGAUACUGGCAGUCUUGAGUACAGUUGAGGUAGGCGGAAUUCGUGGUGUAGCGGUGAAAUGCUUAGAUAUCACGAAGAACUCCGAUUGCGAAGGCAGCUUACUAAACUGCCACUGACAUUGAUGCUCGAAAGUGUGGGUAUCAAACAGGAUUAGAUACCCUUGUAGUC